UUUGAUCAUGGCUCAGGAUGAACGCUAGCGACAGGCCUAACACAUGCAAGUCGAGGGGCAUCGGGGCGAGGAGCAAUCCUUGCCGCCGGCGACCGGCGCACGGGUGAGUAACGCGUAUGCGACCUGCCCGUUGCAGGGGGAUAAUCGGGAGAAAUCCCGUCUAAUACCGCGUAAUGCCGCGGGGCUGCAUGGCCCUGCGGCCAAAGGAAGCGAUUCCGGCAACGGAUGGGCAUGCGUGACAUUAGCUAGUUGGCGGGGCAACGGCCCACCAAGGCGACGAUGUCUAGGGGUUCUGAGAGGAAGGUCCCCCACACUGAUACUGAAACACGGACCAGACUCCUACGGGAGGCAGCAGUGAGGAAUAUUGGUCAAUGGGCGCGAGCCUGAACCAGCCAAGUCGCGUGAGGGAUGACGGCCCUACGGGUUGUAAACCUCUUUUGUCGGGGAGCAAAUUCCGCCACGUGUGGCGGAGUCGAGAGUACCCGAAGAAAAAGCAUCGGCUAACUCCGUGCCAGCAGCCGCGGUAAUACGGAGGAUGCGAGCGUUAUCCGGAUUUAUUGGGUUUAAAGGGUGCGUAGGCGGACUGUCAAGUCAGCGGUAAAAUACGGGGGCUCAACCUCCGCCCGCCGUUGAAACUGACGGUCUUGAGUGGGCGAGAAGUAUGCGGAAUGCGUGGUGUAGCGGUGAAAUGCAUAGAUAUCACGCAGAACUCCGAUUGCGAAGGCAGCAUACCGGCGCCCAACUGACGCUGAAGCACGAAAGCGUGGGUAUCGAACAGGAUUAGAUACCCUGGUAGUCCACGCAGUAAACGAUGAAUACUAGCUGUCCGGGGCGAAUGAGCCCUUGGGUGGCACAGCGAAAGCGUUAAGUAUUNCACCUGGGGGAGUACGCCNGCAACGGUGAAANCUCAAAGGAAUUGACGGGGGCCCNCNCCAAGCGGAAGGAACAUGUGGUUUAAUUCNGAUGAUACGCGAGGNAACCUUACCCNGGCUNCAAACGACACAGGAACGUACCUGAAAGGGUUCGGCUCUACGGAGCCUGUGUCGAGGUGCUGCAUGGUUGUCGUCAGCUCGUGCCGUGAGGUGUCGGCUUAAGUGCCAUAACGAGCGCAACCCCCAUCGACAGUUGCUAACAGGUCAGGCUGAGGACUCUGUCGAGACUGCCGGCGCAAGCUGCGAGGAAGGCGGGGAUGACGUCAAAUCAGCACGGCCCUUACGUCCGGGGCGACACACGUGUUACAGUGGCAGGUACAGCGGGAAGCCACCUGGCGACAGGGAGCGGAACCCGAAAGCCUGUCUCAGUUCGGAUUGGAGUCUGCAACCCGACUCCAUGAAGCUGGAUUCGCUAGUAAUCGCGCAUCAGCCACGGCGCGGUGAAUACGUUCCCGGGCCUUGUACACACCGCCCGUCAAGCCAUGGAAGCCGGGGGUGCCUGAAGUGCGCUGCCGCGAGGAGCGCCCUAGGGUAAAACCGGUGACUGGGGCUAAGUCGUAACAAGGUAACCGUA
RNAcentral lists this ribosomal RNA (1506 nucleotides) under uncultured bacterium. RNAcentral describes it as "16S ribosomal RNA". It matches the Rfam family "Bacterial small subunit ribosomal RNA". The record is from RNAcentral.